RNAcentral lists this ribosomal RNA (262 nucleotides) under uncultured bacterium. RNAcentral describes it as "partial 16S ribosomal RNA". It matches the Rfam family "Bacterial small subunit ribosomal RNA", at positions 337 to 595 of the family's 1533-position model. The record is from RNAcentral.
GCCUACGGGGGGCAGCAGUGAGGAAUAUUGGUCAAUGGGCGAGAGCCUGAACCAGCCAAGUCGCGUGAAGGAUGACGGCCCUACGGGUUGUAAACUUCUUUUGUCAGGGAGCAAUUGGGUCCACGCGUGGGCUUAGCGAGAGUACCUGAAGACAAAGCAUCGGCUAACUCCGUGCCAGCAGCCGCGGUAAUACGGAGGAUGCUAGUGUUAUCCGGAUUUAUUGGGUUUAAAGGGUGCGUAGGCGGACUAUCAAGUCAGCGGU